Molecule: long non-coding RNA, 685 nt
Organism: Chrysemys picta bellii (western painted turtle)
Lineage: Eukaryota; Metazoa; Chordata; Testudines; Emydidae
Source: RefSeq, a predicted model, not a curated record
AGCAAGCCAGCUGGAAAACAGGAUGUCCAUCUGAACUAGCCUAAAUACAAUGCAGUACUUUAAAACGUUGUGCUCGAGGGUGUAAAAGUAUGCCCAAGAGCAGAACAAAGUAAACACAUCCGUCCUCCUCCUCCUGACCCCAGGCUUUACGACACGGGUCAUCAAAACACAAAAGAAGGGUGACUCUGGCAAUUAGCAACCAGUAAAUUAUUAACUAGCUUCAGUUCCCAGUGAAGAAAUGGAAUAAAUAGGAAGGGGAAAUCUGCUAAUGCCCUGGAGAAUAGUGGAACUGUAAACAAAGAAGCAGCCCUGGUUCCUAAAGAAUGAAGCUUGCCAAACAAAGAGCGAGACAUUUACAAAUGUAGCAGAUGAAGGCUGUGUAGCCAAUGUAAUAUAUUUGGCUUUUAGUAGAGGGCAUGACAUAGCGUCUCAUGUUCAGUGAGAGCCCUGAGGUCUACGUGCACACAUGGACAGUGUUACAUGGACUGAAAAUUGGCUGAAGGAUGACAAGCAAAGAGUAAUGCUGGGUGAAACCCUGGCCCUGCUGGGAGUUUUGGAUUUCACCCAGUGUGUUGAAAUGGUUGGGUGUGCUCUUGAUCUCAGGUCUAAGGUUGCAAAUAUCCAGUGUGAAGCUGCAAAUGUUUCUACGCUCCCCCUAUCAUCUCCGUCUCUGAGGUUAUCGCAG